Molecule: long non-coding RNA, 881 nt
Filed under: Anser cygnoides (Swan goose)
Lineage: Eukaryota; Metazoa; Chordata; Aves; Anseriformes; Anatidae
Description: lncRNA (ENSACDG00005016156.1)
Source: RNAcentral
AAAUAGCUAAUUACAAAUGAGCUGCUGGGUUGUUCACAGCGUGCCUGAGCAGUUCCUGCGGGGACAGCAGUGCUGUGCUCCAUGCAGGUCUGUGCAGGGGGUGUGAGUGACCGUGUCUGGUGCAACAGAAGGUGCAGUGACACCUGAGAGAAAAAUAAAAAGGGUGUUUUAGGAGCCAGGAGGGAGAGCAGAUGGUGCUGGGAAUGACACAGGUGCCCCGAGUCACAAAGCCGUGUGCUCUGAUGUGGGAUGAAUUGCCACCAGCUGGGGGAAGCUGGAGGUGGGCUUUAGCACUUGUUCCUGAGCACCGGGGGGGUGAGAUGUGUCCCAGUGAGGUGCUGGGGAGGGCUCAGCUCCUUCUGUUGGCUCCUUGGGAUUGCUGGCAUGAGAGUGGGUGCGUGUUUGGCUGUGGGCAGGACUGCCUUUCCACAGCUUGUGGAUUCAGAAGUGCUGAAUCCAUGUCAGAAGAAAAAGUGUUUAAAGACCUUUCAGCCUCCCUCUGUCUGAUGGAACAACGUGUGACCGAGCACAGCUUGUGCCUUGUAGGAGCGAUGACGUGCUUGGGAACAAGUGACUUUCUGCGUCGUCUGCCACGGGCUGUUGACACAGUGUCACUGAUGUACCCUGCUGAUGGACCCCAUGCUUUUCCCUCCAGACUGUGGCAUGGCUCUGUGUUAUGUUCAGAUCUGCCAGUAAAAUUUCUGGGAGGCAAGCUAACGCAGCGGGAGGGGAGACCUCCGGUGGCCUGGUACAGCACAUCCCAAACUUGCCCUGCUGCCUGGGUGUGCCAUGAAAGGCUGGGGACCUCUGGAUGUCAGCAUCUGGGGCCUGCCUGCAGGUGCUGGGAUGACUUGGGACAGCUGUGUGUGUCCUCUGCCUGA